Molecule: ribosomal RNA, 1498 nt
Filed under: human gut metagenome
Description: bacterial LSU rRNA
Rfam family: Bacterial large subunit ribosomal RNA
Source: RNAcentral
GGAAAGGUGAAAAGGACCCCGGGAGGGGAGUGAAAGAGAACCUGAAACCUUGUGCUUACAAGCACUCAAAGCACGUUAAAGUGUGAUGAGGUACUUUUUGUAGAACGGUCCGGCGAGUUAUUGUAUGUAGCGAGCUUAAGGUGUUCAGCACCGGAGGCGAAGCGAGAGCGAGUCUGAAUAGGGCGACACAGUUGCAUGCAAUAGACCCGAAACCAGGUGACCUAUCCAUGGGCAGGUUGAAGUGGGGGUAAAACCCCAUGGAGGACCGAACCGACCCCCGUUGCAAUGGUGGCGGAUGACCUGUGGAUAGCGGAGAAAUUCUAAUCGAACUUGGAGAUAGCUGGUUCUCCCCGAAAUAGCUUUAGGGCUAGCGUUGAUUUAGAUUACCGGAGGUAAAGCACUGAAUGGGCUAGGGGCUGAUAAAGUUACUGAACCCUAUCAAACUAAGAAUGCCGGCAAAUUGAUGAUCAGCAGUCAGACUACGUGAGAUAAGUCUCGUGGUCAAAAGGGAAACAGCCCAGACCCACAGCUAAGGUCCCAAAUAUACGCUAAGUGGAAAACGAUGUGGAAUUGCGAAAACAACCAGGAUGUUGGCUUAGAAGCAGCCACUCAUUAAAAGAGUGCGUAAUAGCUCACUGGUCGAGUGACUCUGCGCGGAAAAUAUAACGGGGCUAAGCGUAACACCGAAGCUUGGGCUGCACAGCAAUGUGCGGGGUAGGGGAGCGUCGAAUAUGGGGUGAAGUCGCAGCGGAAGCAGCGGUGGACUGUAUUCGAGUGAGAAUGCCGGAAUGAGUAGCGAGAAUUAUGUGGGAAUCAUAAUGGCCGAAAAUCUAAGGUUUCUUGGGGAAGGUUCGUCCGCCCAAGGUAAGCCGGGAGCUAAGGCGAGGCCGAAAGGCGUAGUCGAUGCACAUACGGUUGAAAUUCCGUAGCCACCGAAACUUAAACCAGAAGGACACUUGGAGCUAUCCGAACCCGGGCGUUGGUUGACCCGGGCGUAAGGGACCGAAAUUAAGUAGGGAAGUCGGAGAAUGACGAGGCGAGAAAAGUUCUGGUGUAUGCUAAGGUGCCCGUACCGCAAACCGACACAGGUAGAUGAGGAGAGAAUCCUAAGGCCAACGGGAGAAGGGUUGUUAAGGAACUCGGCAAGUUGACCCCGUAACUUCGGAAUAAGGGGAGCCUCGAAAGAGGCCGCAGUGAAAAGGCCCAAGCAACUGUUUACCAAAAACACAGGUCUAUGCUAAAUCGAAAGAUGACGUAUAUGGGCUGACGCCUGCCCGGUGCUGGAAGGUUAAGAGGAGAGCUUAGCGCAAGCGAAGGUUUGAAUUGAAGCCCCAGUAAACGGCGGCCGUAACUAUAACGGUCCUAAGGUAGCGAAAUUCCUUGUCAGGUAAGUUCUGACCCGCACGAAUGGCGUAACGAUUUGGGCGCUGUCUCAACAGCCCACCCGGCGAAAUUGUAGUACCGGUGAAGAUGCCGGUUACCCGCAACUAGACGGAAA